AGGAAUUUAGGCUAAAAAGACCGAAGGCCUUCAAAGCCUUAAGUAAGUAUUUAUACUUAAUUCCUG
RNAcentral lists this transfer RNA (66 nucleotides) under Microsciurus flaviventer (pygmy squirrel). RNAcentral describes it as "tRNA-Trp". Lineage: Eukaryota; Metazoa; Chordata; Mammalia; Rodentia; Sciuridae. The record is from RNAcentral.